This 1491-nucleotide long non-coding RNA is filed under the name Sus scrofa (pig). RNAcentral's name for it is "lncRNA (ENSSSCG00060000850.1)". Lineage: Eukaryota; Metazoa; Chordata; Mammalia; Artiodactyla; Suidae. The record is from RNAcentral.
GCCACACCUGGGGCAUAUGUAGGUUCCCAGGCUAGGGGUCCAAUCGAAGCGGUGGCUGCUGGCCUACGCCAGAGCCACACCAAUGUGGGAUCUGAGCCACAUCUGCGAUCUAUGCCACAGCUCACUGCAACGCCGGAUCCCCAACCCACUGAGCGAGGCCAGGGAUCGAACCCGCAACCUUAUGGUUCCUAGUAGGAUUUGCCAACCACAGAGCCACGACAGGCUAGUUUUCAUUUUGUUAUGCCCAUACCUGGACAUAUUAACCCUUCCUGUACUUAUUCAGUGAUGACAAUUUUAAAGUUGCCUGAUCAGAUUGAAAAGAUGAAGGAACGUAAGUGAGAGACUGAAUAUAAAAAGUACAGACAACCAUUUUAUAAGCAAAAAAUAUUAAGAAGCAAACAAAACCCAUUUCCCUAUUAUGAUUUGAAAGACAUAGAAAGUUUAUGAGAAAAAUCCAUAUAAAUCAUCAACCUAAGCAGCAAAGAAAAUAUUUAUUUACUUCAAAGUAAUUAUGUAGUGCAUACUAAAUUGCCUCAUUGUAUGAGGCAAGAAAUUAUUUAAAAUGUCAAUUCUAGUCAAUAAAUCAUAAGGACUUUGAUUGGCCAAUGAAACCCACUGUCCCAUUGUUAUAUUUGUUUUCCCCAAAACUACAUAAGUUUAAUGUAAUUCCUCACGUAAUAGGGAAGUUAGGAUUAGUUCCCUUUACAGGUUUAUUUUUUAACCAGGUUGUGAAGUAUAUGGUUUAAAACAUUAAUUUUUUUUCAAAAACCAUGUGUCUUUAUUCUAAUGUAUGUGAUCUCUCCCACACCCUCCAAUGGUUUUUAUUUUUUCCAUUAUAGGUGGUUUACAGUGCUCUGUCAAUUUUCUACUGUAUAGCAAAGUGACCUAGUCUCACACACACACACACACACACAUAUAUACACACACGUUCUUCUUCUUACAUUAUCCUCCAUCAUGUUCCAUCACAAGUGACUNUAUAUACACACACGUUCUUUUUCUUACAUUAUCCUCCAUCAUGUUCCAUCACAACAUAACUUUCUGGAGUUCCUCAAUCCUUUUCUCCUAUCUCCAAUAAUUUUUCUUAGAGUGUUUAUACUAAGCAUGAUAUUCCUAGAAUCUAUCCUAGACUCUUCAGCUUCAAUUUAAACCAUUUAAUUUCAUACCCUCUCUGACUCAAAAGGAAAAAAUGCCAACAGUACAAUAUAUCAUCAUAAUAUGAAUGUGUGGUAUUUGUUGCAAGAAACUAUUUUUAAAUUCCACCCCCUCAAGCUUUCUUUCUCCUAGUACAUCACUCCUUUAUCUAAGUAGGACUAACAAAAUAAGAUAAAAAUCCUGCAAAAAGUACUUUGCUUCUACUUGAACUUUUAAAAAUUGUGUUUAAUUAAAGGCCUUAUCCUUCCCUAGGCUCAUUGUUUCAAUUUGAGUAGAUGCCAGGAAACAUUUACGAAAUGGCAGAGCAAAGAACUCUGAAAAUCUGCUCUUCCAUAAGAG